UUUAGGAUUUGAAAUGAAAGAAGCAAACGCCGCUGUGGUAGAUCUAGUUCUAGACACCCUCUUGAUCUCCUUUGAGGAUACCUUUCAUUUUGAUCAUUCUUGAAAGUAGUUAUAAUCUGGAGUGUUAUUGACUUAUUGUUGGAGUCUUCUAGUAGCAACUUCAAUAUGAGUCGCGUUCAACCCAAGCACUGGUUUGUCCUUGGGGCGUCUGUAACGUUUGCAGCAUCAUGCAUUACUUUUGUCGUUUUGACUCAGAAGCAAGAACAUUCGGUGAUGAUGAACGGUGUGAUACGCGAUAUAGAGCGUCAAGAGAAGAAACGGCUUGAGCAGCUCUCCAAGCAGCGAGAGAUUGAAGCGAUGAUGCGGGGAAAUCGAGAAGAGAAGGAAACAUAGUGCUGCGCGCCAACGCCAGUACAACUAGCAGUGUACUUGAUUCGGCAGUGAUUGCAGUAGCGGGACGUCGCUUGGAUGUUCGCAUGCUAUCACAUCCUGGUCCUGGUAUGUGUAUAGCAGCAUGAUAUGGUACGACCUAGCACGUUACUGCUAUGUAGAGUGACUAGUGACCGUGUCCUUGCUGCCUGCUGGGUGAUGAUGGUGGCGGCUCUCAGUCAUGGAGAGUUUGCUACUUCCCAUGGUAUUGUAUGGUACCUGCUGGACGAUGGCAGCUGAGCCAGUAGAAUACGAAUGUUCCGUGUUCUGGCAACACAAGUUGCCUAAGGUCUGCGGAUGGCAGCUCAGCCAGUAGAAUACGAAUGUUCCGUGUUCUGGCAACGCAAGUUGCCUAAGGUCUGCGGGCAAUGUGGAUUGUUGCAAUGAGUUAGGUGCUAUCCAGCGCAGCUUGUGCACCUGCCGUUGGACAUGUCAGCUGAUCACACACCUGUGAAUAGGUGGAGAGGAGCAGCAGUUAAGCGCAAUGAUGAUCCAGCUGUCGUUGGCAUCCCGGCAGGUUGGGUUACUUGGUUGAUUCAACUCGCGGGUCACGCUCGUUGAGCGCAUACUUUGCUCUCCUCACUGUAAGCCAUCCUUCCUGGGCUUGAACACAUUGUGUGUAGUGUGUGUAGUGUGUGCAGUGUGUGUAGUGUGUGUGGCGUAACAAACUCAUAACAUUGUAAGCAGUGCAAAGCUUACCACCUGAUUUACACUGUAAAUUGAUCAAGCUGGUCUUGAUCACCCAGCCACUUUUCUUCUUUUUUCUUCUUCUUCUUCGAACGUUCAUGCGUGCCUAUCGGGUGUGAAUCUAUGAAACUAUACCAGUUCAUGGUCCAAUGAUGUGGAUGUAUGUAUAGAGGCAUGGCAGAAUGGUGUGGAGUUGAAUCAUCUUGGAUUACUA
This is a long non-coding RNA of Sycon ciliatum, 1330 nucleotides long. RefSeq lists it as uncharacterized. Lineage: Eukaryota; Metazoa; Porifera; Calcarea; Leucosolenida; Sycettidae. The transcript has 2 exons. The record is from RefSeq and is a predicted model, not a curated record.